UUAAAUGGCCGCGGUAUAUUAACCGUGCGAAGGUAGCGCAAUCACUUGUUCUUUAAAUAAGGACCUGUAUGAAAGGAUUAACGAGGGCUUAACUGUCUCCUUUUUCUAGUCUAUAAAAUUGAUUUACCCGUGCAGAAGCGGGCGUGAUUAUACAAGACGAGAAGACCCUUUGGAACUUUAGGUAAUUUACUUUCAUAUAAAAAAUCUAAUAAAAACAUUAACACAGUGAAUAAAGCUAAAUUUACCUUAGGUUGGGGUGACCGCGGAGUAAAAAAGAACCUCCUAAUGGAUUGAAUAAUAUUUAAAUACUAGACUCACGUGUCUAUUAAACAGAAAUUCUGACCAAAAUGAUCCAGCAAUAAGCUGAUUAAUGAACUAAGCUACCCUAGGGAUAACAGCGCAAUCUCUUCUAAGAGCCCUUAUCGACGAAGGGGUUUACGACCUCGAUGUU
This 451-nucleotide ribosomal RNA is filed under the name Danionella translucida. Its description in RNAcentral is "partial 16S ribosomal RNA". It matches the Rfam family "Bacterial large subunit ribosomal RNA", at positions 1923 to 2533 of the family's 2925-position model. Lineage: Eukaryota; Metazoa; Chordata; Actinopteri; Cypriniformes; Danionidae. The record is from RNAcentral.